Molecule: small RNA, 1172 nt
Filed under: Arabidopsis thaliana (thale cress)
Lineage: Eukaryota; Viridiplantae; Streptophyta; Magnoliopsida; Brassicales; Brassicaceae
Description: ATSL107450
Source: RNAcentral
GUUAUUUUUAAAAAGACAGAUUAAGAAUAGGAAUUAAAACCAAAAAUAUCCACCCCGGAUGUGUAUGCUUGAGAUAUAGAUGACAUCCAAUAACAAAAAGAGAGGGGUUCUCUAUAAUGUUGAAAGUCAAAAAUGAAAUUUGUGACUGACUAAUUGUGGUUAAUUCGAUAUUUAGUGAGGUUAGAAUGGAUCGGAGUUUUGUAGGAGACUAGUGCGGUUGGGAGAUUGUUUCCCACCAUAGUUUUUUUGUAAGAAACGAACGUAAUCUCCGACUUCAUUUUUGAUACAUAUUUUCUAUGUAACGAGAGAACGUUCUAUUAACGGGGUUAAUCGGCGAGUUAACAUUUUGGGAUUUUGGCCAGGUCAACGUUUAAAGGAAAUUCUUUACUUCUUCUUUACUUGCAGUUUUGUAGUGACCACCUCUUCUUUACUUGCAGUUUCACUUCUGCAAUUUGGGUAGAUUUAGCGAGAGGAAUUUUCAAAACACAGUACACUUCACACUGACAAUCGAUAAUUGAAGCCAUUACAAACUCUCAGCAUCACCGUGUGGAAUGGUUUCUCCGCCGCUAUGUUUUCCAAGCCACAAUCUACAUUGUGUGGAGGGAGCGGAAUGGUAGGCGUCACGGCGAGCCUCCGAACACAGCAUCUCAACUCGUUGGUUGGAUAGAUAAACAAAUUAGAAAUCAGCUGUCCUCUAUCUGUCUCAAGGGGGACAAGCGUUAUGAUGGAAGUCUCCAAGUUUGGUUUCAGUCAAGAAGUUAAUCUCUUAGCUCUGUUUCUUUCUUUUGUUCAAAACUAUUCUCAGCUCUAAUUCUCAAAACCAAGCUGCACUUGUUGUAAAAACGUUUUUCUUUGGAAUAUAAUUUAACAUUAUUUUUAAAAAAAAAAACAAAAUGGCUGAUCAACGUUUUUAUCAUGUUUAAUUUGGCCGACCUCAGAAUUCACGUAUGGAAUGAGCACUUUUUGAAAGUUCACGUAUAAAACAACAUUUUUCCCGAUCUUUAUGAUAUCAUUUUUAUUGAUAUGUUUCUUUUUUUCUUUUUGUUAAAGGAUUUGUUCUUAUUUUGUGACAAUAAUAUAUAAUAAGAGUUCUUGAUUAUGAUCAAAGUAAACUUUUUUUGUAGAACCCAUGACAUAACAUACAUGAUACAACCAAUUAUUCCCACUUUGAG